RNAcentral lists this long non-coding RNA (264 nucleotides) under Jatropha curcas. RNAcentral describes it as "long non-coding RNA (JCUR_LNC001560)". Lineage: Eukaryota; Viridiplantae; Streptophyta; Magnoliopsida; Malpighiales; Euphorbiaceae. The record is from RNAcentral.
UAACGGUAGGUGCACACGGGGGCGCCGAUCUCCCAUUUACCCGGCUAACAGAAACAGAAUCAGGAUCCAUAUAACAGAAACAGUCUCACAAACCCAUGGUGACCCACUUCAUCCCAAUUCCACACAAACAAGGCACAGUAUAUGCACAGCACAAGUAAUCAAACAAUUCUUUCAACGUAUUACACCAAUUUCAUCCAAAUGCACAAUUAUAUAUAAGUAUAAUUAUAGUGAUCGUAACAUAAUAUAUAUAUGAUAAAAUACUUA